CAGGUGCUGCAUGGCUGUCGUCAGCUCGUGUCGUGAGAUGUUGGGUUAAGUCCCGUAACGAGCGCAACCCUUGUCCUUAGUUACCAGCACGUAAUGGUGGGCACUCUAAGGAGACUGCCGGUGACAAACCGGAGGAAGGUGGGGAUGACGUCAAGUCAUCAUGGCACUUACGGCCUGGGCUACACACGUGCUACAAUGGUCGGUACAGAGGGUUGCCAAGCCGCGAGGUGGAGCUAAUCCCAUAGAACCGAUCGUAGUCCGGAUCGCAGUCUGCAACUCGACUGCGUGAAGUCGGAAUCGCUAGUAAUCGCGAAUCAGAAUGUCGCGGUGAAUACGUUCCCGGGCCUUGUACACACCGCC
Molecule: ribosomal RNA, 360 nt
Filed under: Pseudomonas rhodesiae
Lineage: Bacteria; Pseudomonadati; Pseudomonadota; Gammaproteobacteria; Pseudomonadales; Pseudomonadaceae
Description: bacterial SSU rRNA
Rfam family: Bacterial small subunit ribosomal RNA
Source: RNAcentral